AAGGUGGUAGUUUAGUAGUAAAACGUUGGGUUGUGGUACCAAAAAAGAUUUUUCCCAUCUUA
Molecule: transfer RNA, 62 nt
Filed under: Plegadiphilus threskiornis
Lineage: Eukaryota; Metazoa; Arthropoda; Insecta; Psocodea; Menoponidae
Description: tRNA-His
Rfam family: tRNA
About the family: Transfer RNA (tRNA) molecules are approximately 80 nucleotides in length. Their secondary structure includes four short double-helical elements and three loops (D, anti-codon, and T loops). Further hydrogen bonds mediate the characteristic L-shaped molecular structure. tRNAs have two regions of fundamental functional importance: the anti-codon, which is responsible for specific mRNA codon recognition, and the 3' end, to which the tRNAs corresponding amino acid is attached (by aminoacyl-tRNA synthetases). tRNAs cope with the degeneracy of the genetic code in two manners: having more than one tRNA (with a specific anti-codon) for a particular amino acid; and 'wobble' base-pairing, i.e. permitting non-standard base-pairing at the 3rd anti-codon position.
Source: RNAcentral